AACGAACGCUGGCGGCGUGGAUUAGGCAUGCAAGUCGAACGGACACUUAGCUUUUUCGAGUGUUAGUGGCGAAAGGGUGAGUAACACGUGGGAACCUGCCUCGAAGUUCGGAAUAACCGCGGGAAACUGCGGCUAAUACCGGAUGUGGCCUGAGGGUCAAAGGCGCAAGUCGCUUCGAGAGGGGCCCGCGUCCGAUUAGCUAGUUGGUGGGGUAACGGCCUACCAAGGCGACGAUCGGUAGCUGGUCGAGAGGAUGAUCAGCCACACUGGGACUGAGACACGGCCCAGACUCCUACGGGAGGCAGCAGUGGGGAAUAUUGGACAAUGGGGGAAACCCUGAUCCAGCAAUGCCGCGUGGGUGAUGAAGGCCUUCGGUUGUAA
This 381-nucleotide ribosomal RNA is filed under the name uncultured bacterium. Its description in RNAcentral is "bacterial SSU rRNA". It matches the Rfam family "Bacterial small subunit ribosomal RNA", at positions 29 to 428 of the family's 1533-position model. The record is from RNAcentral.